Molecule: ribosomal RNA, 595 nt
Filed under: uncultured Moraxella sp.
Lineage: Bacteria; Pseudomonadati; Pseudomonadota; Gammaproteobacteria; Moraxellales; Moraxellaceae
Description: bacterial SSU rRNA
Rfam family: Bacterial small subunit ribosomal RNA
Source: RNAcentral
GUCGAACGAAGUUAGGAAGCUUGCUUCUGAUACUUAGUGGCGGAUGGGUGAGUAAUGCUUAGGAAUCUGCCUAGUAGUGGGGGAUAACUUGGGGAAACCCAAGCUAAUACCGCAUACGACCUACGGGUGAAAGGGGGCUUUUAGCUCUCGCUAUUAGAUGAGCCUAAGUCGGAUUAGCUGGUUGGUGGGGUAAAGGCCUACCAAGGCGACGAUCUGUAGCUGGUCUGAGAGGAUGAUCAGCCACACUGGGACUGAGACACGGCCCAGACUCCUACGGGAGGCAGCAGUGGGGAAUAUUGGACAAUGGGCGAAAGCCUGAUCCAGCCAUGCCGCGUGUGUGAAGAAGGCCUUUUGGUUGUAAAGCACUUUAAGUGGGGAGGAAAAGCUUAUGGUUAAUACCCAUAAGCCCUGACGUUACCCACAGAAUAAGCACCGGCUAACUCUGUGCCAGCAGCCGCGGUAAUACAGAGGGUGCAAGCGUUAAUCGGAAUUACUGGGCGUAAAGCGCGCGUAGGUGGUUAUUUAAGUCAGAUGUGAAAGCCCCGGGCUUAACCUGGGAACUGCAUCUGAUACUGGAUAACUAGAGUAGGUGAGA